This 264-nucleotide ribosomal RNA is filed under the name uncultured bacterium. RNAcentral's name for it is "partial 16S ribosomal RNA". It matches the Rfam family "Bacterial small subunit ribosomal RNA", at positions 46 to 334 of the family's 1533-position model. The record is from RNAcentral.
AGGCCUAACACAUGCAAGUCGAGCGCUCGUAGCAAUACGGGAGCGGCAGACGGGAGAGUAACACGUGGGAACGUACCCUUCGGUUCGGAAUAACCCAGGGAAACUUGGGCUAAUACCGGAUACGUCCGCAAGGAGAAAGAUUUAUUGCCGAGGGAUCGGCCCGCGUCCGAUUAGCUAGUUGGUGAGGUAACGGCUCACCAAGGCGACGAUCGGUAGCUGGUCUGAGAGGAUGAUCAGCCUCACUGGGACUGAGACACGGCCCAG